CAGCAGCCGCGGUAAUACGAAGGGUGCAAGCGUUACUCGGAAUUACUGGGCGUAAAGCGUGCGUAGGUGGUGGUUUAAGUCCGUUGUGAAAGCCCUGGGCUCAACCUGGGAAUUGCAGUGGAUACUGGGUCACUAGAGUGUGGUAGAGGAUAGUGGAAUUUCCGGUGUAGCAGUGAAAUGCGUAGAGAUCGGAAGGAACAUCUGUGGCGAAGGCGACUAUCUGGGCCAACACUGACACUGAGGCACGAAAGCGUGGGGAGCAAACAGGAUUAGAUACCCCGUAGUCCCUGUCUCUUAUCCA
This 301-nucleotide ribosomal RNA is filed under the name uncultured bacterium. RNAcentral's name for it is "partial 16S ribosomal RNA". It matches the Rfam family "Bacterial small subunit ribosomal RNA", at positions 509 to 809 of the family's 1533-position model. The record is from RNAcentral.